This 1401-nucleotide ribosomal RNA is filed under the name uncultured bacterium. RNAcentral describes it as "bacterial SSU rRNA". It matches the Rfam family "Bacterial small subunit ribosomal RNA". The record is from RNAcentral.
GAAUUCGCCCUUAGAGUUUGAUCCUGGCUCAGGAUGAACGCUGGCGGCGUGCUUAACACAUGCAAGUCGAACGGGAAUUACUUUAUUGAAACUUCGGUCGAUUUAAUUUAAUUCUAGUGGCGGACGGGUGAGUAACGCGUGGGUAACCUGCCUUAUACAGGGGGAUAACAGUCAGAAAUGGCUGCUAAUACCGCAUAAGCGCACAGAGCUGCAUGGCUCAGUGUGAAAAACUCCGGUGGUAUAAGAUGGACCCGCGUUGGAUUAGCUAGUUGGUGGAGUAACGGCCCACCAAGGCGACGAUCCAUAGCCGGCCUGAGAGGGUGAUCGGCCACAUUGGGACUGAGACACGGCCCAGACUCCUACGGGAGGCAGCAGUGGGGAAUAUUGCGCAAUGGGGGAAACCCUGACGCAGCAACGCCGCGUGCAGGAAGAAGGUCUUCGGAUUGUAAACUGUUGUCGCAAGGGAAGAAGACAGUGACGGUACCUUGUGAGAAAGUCACGGCUAACUACGUGCCAGCAGCCGCGGUAAUACGUAGGUGACAAGCGUUGUCCGGAUUUACUGGGUGUAAAGGGCGCGUAGGCGGGAUAGCAAGUCAGUCGUGAAAUACCGAGGCUCAACCUCGGGGCUGCGAUUGAAACUGUUAUUCUUGAGUAUCGGAGAGGAAAGCGGAAUUCCUAGUGUAACGGUGAAAUGCGUAGAUAUUCGGAGGAACACCAGUGGCGAAGGCGGCCUACUGGGCUUUAACUGACGCUGAGGCUCGAAAGUGUGGGGAGCAAACAGGAUUAGAUACCCUGGUAGUCCACACUGUAAACGAUGAUUGCUAGGUGUGGGGGGUCUGACCCCCUCCGUGCCGGAGUUAACGCAAUAAGCAAUCCACCUGGGGAGUACGGCCGCAAGGUUGAAACUCAAAGGAAUUGACGGGGGCCCGCACAAGCAGUGGAUUAUGUGGUUUAAUUCGAAGCAACGCGAAGAACCUUACCAGGUCUUGACAUCCGACUAACGAGAUAGAGAUAUGUCAGGUGCCCUACGGGGAAAGUCGAGACAGGUGGUGCAUGGUUGUCGUCAGCUCGUGUCGUGAGAUGUUGGGUUAAGUCCCGCAACGAGCGCAACCCCUGCCAUUAGUUGCUACGCAAGAGCACUCUAAUGGGACCGCUACCGACAAGGUGGAGGAAGGUGGGGACGACGUCAAAUCAUCAUGCCCCUUAUGACCUGGGCUACACACGUAAUACAAUGGCCGUUAACAACGAGGAGCAAACCCGCGAGGGGGAGCAAAACUUGAAAAACGGUCUCAGUCCGGAUUGCAGGCUGCAACUCGCCUGCAUGAAGUUGGAAUUGCUAGUAAUCGCGGAUCGGCAUGCCGCGGUGAAUACGUUCCCGGGCCUUGCACACACCGCCCGUCA